This 252-nucleotide ribosomal RNA is filed under the name uncultured microorganism. Its description in RNAcentral is "partial 16S ribosomal RNA". It matches the Rfam family "Bacterial small subunit ribosomal RNA", at positions 524 to 776 of the family's 1533-position model. The record is from RNAcentral.
UACGUAGGUCCCGAGCGUUGUCCGGAUUUAUUGGGCGUAAAGCGAGCGCAGGUGGUUUAUUAAGUCUGGUGUAAAAGGCAGUGGCUCAACCAUUGUAUGCAUUGGAAACUGUUAGACUUGAGUGCAGUAGAGGAGAGUGGAAUUCCAUGUGUAGCGGUGAAAUGCGUAGAUAUAUGGAGGAACACCGGUGGCGAAAGCGGCUCUCUGGACUGUCACUGACACUGAGGCUCGAAAGCGUGGGUAGCAAACAGG